Panicum virgatum (switchgrass) is the source of this 936-nucleotide long non-coding RNA. RefSeq lists it as uncharacterized. The record is from RefSeq and is a predicted model, not a curated record. The transcript is spliced from 3 exons. Lineage: Eukaryota; Viridiplantae; Streptophyta; Magnoliopsida; Poales; Poaceae.
CCCGCGUACUCGGUCAGCCAGUCAACGCCUUCUCCUUUGCUCCAUCCCCCUGCCUUCUCCCCUCCUUCCGCCGUCUUGUGCACGCCGCCGCCUGAUGGCCCUCGCCGCCGUCCAUGUUGUGGCCCUCCAUCCCGUGCAGCACCGCCAGCCCCUCGAGCCCCAGCAUGGACCACCCCUCCACGUGCCGCCGGCCGCCCCGCGCUAGCUCGACGGCGGACUCCUGACUGGCCAUCGCCGGCGGCGGGAAGGCUGCGGAAGGGCACGCCACUGCGUCAAGCCGUCCGGGCCCUUAAGCCUCUCGAGCCGGCGGCGGAAAGGCCACCACGGACGCAACCUGAAUUGCUGAGAUCCUGAUUAAUAAGCAAAUCAUCAUAUCUCGACAUCACAGGCUAACAGGUAGCUACAAUCAAUGUUCUUACGGUGUUAAUGCGAGUUGUGGCAAGUCACCACCACCUAGCCGCCUAGGCGGGCUAAGGCGACGCCUAGGCGGGCUAAGGCGACGCCUAGACGGGCUAAAAUGCCUACACGGGCCAAAACAGGGGAGCGCCUUGAGCGAUGCCAUAAGAACAUUGGCUACAAUGGAAUAAUAAGGAACGACACGAGUUCUUUGAAGCAUAUUAUAGAGCCAUCUGUCAACAUAAGGAGAUAAAAAGUAUUUUUGAAUCAUAAGUUAAUUAGAUUUUUUUAACUUACGUGCGACGUGUGUCUAUGCUAUACUAUAAAAGUUGAAAUAAUUGAAAUAUUUUUUCACCAAGAUUAGAAUCACCAUACCCUGUACGAAGGUCCCACUUGUCAGGUUCAGAGGUUUGACAGAAGGGGCUGGUGACCCUUUUUAAUGACCAAAAUUCUAAUACUUUUUGUACCAACAAUUUUAUAUACCCACCUUUUGUACCUGCUUAUAACUUUUCUUUGGAGAACACUUUACUUUUCUUUGCA